Molecule: long non-coding RNA, 1325 nt
Organism: Macaca fascicularis (crab-eating macaque)
Lineage: Eukaryota; Metazoa; Chordata; Mammalia; Primates; Cercopithecidae
Source: Ensembl
CGGGAGUUCAAGGCUACAGGGAGCCAUGAUCAUGACACUGCACUCCAGCCUGGAUGACAGAGAGAGAUCUCAUCUCUAAAUACAUACAUUUUUAAUGACUAUUAAUGAAUAUCACAAUACAUAUGUGUAUAGCAACUGUGCUUUACACGGAUCUCAUUUUGAUUAAUGAGAGGUGCUGCUGUUUCAUUGAUGAGGCGCCCAAGGCUCAGAGGGGUUGAAUCCCUUGCACAAGAACGCCAGGCUAGUGACUGGCAGAAGCAGGACUUAGGCCUGGCAAUGGGACUUGGUGUGUGCUCAGUGGAAGCUCAGAGAGGUUGUGAAAUUUGGCCAAUGUCUCAACAGCCAGUCGAUGUGAGAAGAAAGGGAUUGGACCCUUAGCUGUCUGGCUGCAACUCAUCUGCUGUGCCCUCAGCUUUUUCUGGUGUGCAGAUAGAGGGUGGGACUGGCAUUGCCUGGGACAGUCCCUAACAUGGGACAGGUAAGUAAAAGUACUAAAUAAUACAUGGUCUGGCACCCCAGCCAGGUCUCACCCCAGAGCCCAGGCGGGGGGAAUCGGACCCUUCCCUGGGUAUCACGUGGGAAACAGGCCACUUCUGGCCGCUUAUUGUUUACUUAUUCACAGCCUUCGAUGAUAUCACACCUGCACACCUCCGCAAGGAACCCGGUGGAGAGGAUGAGUGAAAUAGCCUGUGGGCAGCAGAGCCUGGAAGAACAGAGAACGACAAGCCUGUGCAGCCUUGGACUGUUUUGCCCUAAACAAGAAGAAAUCUACAAGGAAAGGAAGAAAUGUAGGAGAGAGUCCAGAUUCCAGUGAGACUCGGGCCUGACUCUAACCAGCUCAUGGCCUGGAAACUUUCCUCCCUUCUACAUUUUCUUGUCCAGGGUAAGCACAGGUGCAGAGGAAAAUGACCAUCCCUGGUCACACACAGUGGCUCACGCCUGUAAUCUCAGCACUUUGGGAGACUGAAGCAGGAAGAUCGCUUGAGCCCAGGAGUUGAAGACCAGCCUAGGCAACAUAGCAAGACCCCAUCUCUAGAAAAAAAAAAAAAAAAACCUCCCCAAAUUAGCCAGGUGUGGUGGCGCACGCCUGUUGUCCCAGCUACUCAGGAGGCUGAGGUAGAAGGAUCACUUGAUCCGGGAGGUGGAGGCUGCAGUGAGCUGUGAUUGUGUCACUGUACUCCAGUCUGGGCAACAGAGUGAGACCUUGUCUUAAAUAAAAAUAAAUAAAAAUAAAUUUAAAAAAAAAGGAAAAGAAAAUAACCCUGGAGGAGUGCUACUCCUCCUCACUCCUUUUGCCUCUCCUCCUCUCAUCUGUUCUCUUCCCC